UACUAGAGAAAUGUGUUUAUCACCAGCUCUUGGUUUUUAUGGAUGUUUCUGUUUCUCGACUGCGAGGAAUGCAAACGAGUUCUACGUCUCUAGGGGUCUCCUCCUUCACCAGCAAUUCACCCAACAGGUGAGGUGCUGGUUAAUCUUAUCCCAUCCUCAGGUUAGAAAUGAUAUGAAAUUUUGUCUUACGGUCCUUAAUUAAAUGUAAAUUACUAAUGUUACAGUGGGCUUUCUAACACCUGGUGUUUCAUACUUUAUUUGUUAUAAUUCUGAUAAUCAUGGUUUACAAAUGAUGAAAACCACAAAUUCAGCAUCUCUGACAUUUAGACUAUCACAUGAAAUCAAUCAAACAAGGAUUUUAAAGGAGCAUGGGGCAGGAAUUGUCCAAAAACAAGAAGUAAAUAGGAUACAUGUUCAUUCUUGUGAAGCUUAUGGGUGAUGAAGCAUUUUAAACUAAAAAGAAUGAUGAAACCAGUUUAUCAUUCCAUUUUGUUAAUCAGGCUGUGUGCUGCGAAAUGCAAAACAUUCCUGAUCCGAAUUUCCCGCGCUGUUUUACGGAUGUGACGUUAAUUGAUGCUUCAAGCACGUUCUCGACAAGGUUCAAACCCGGAAAAACAUUUGGAAGCUUGCUAGGUGGCGGUAAUGCGUCUUUCAUUACUAGCCACGUUAAAACCUCAAACAGAAGAAGAAGAACCCUGGAAAUGGAUUCUACAACUAGCAAAUGACCAAGCAACUCAAAGCCUACUAAAGUGGCACAAAGAAGAAGGUUGUAUCAGCGGCAUCUCGAGUCAAAAAGAAAAUAUAAAAGUCGUUCAGGGACCCGAAUAUGUAUUGGGUACGCUCUGGAAGAAUGAGGCUGGUUCAACUCAAUUUGGGCCUGAAAAGGAUGCGGACAUGGUGCAUUUUCUAGUGACCAGGUGCGCGCGAGCGGAGCGAAUGAUUAACUGACACAAGCACGGAGAAGCGACCAGAAGAAGCUCACAUCGGAUAAAGAAAAGUGGACAUGGACUGAAAUUGCUUGUGAAUAUUAAGUGGAGAGGCGCACACGGUGUGUUUGUAUAUUUAUCUGUAUUGCAUUAAUAUCUGAGUUAUAAGUUUAUGUUUCUAAAAUUAAUAUUUGUGUUUAUUGUUGUUCAUUUCACCGUAGUUUUUCACGGUGUUUGCUGGUAACAAGAAGAUAAAGAACCAGUUGAACAUCAGUUGGAGCAUGGCGUUUUAUUCCACAAAAAACAAAAUAUCCUUCAUGAGCAGUUACA
This 1256-nucleotide long non-coding RNA is filed under the name Nothobranchius furzeri (turquoise killifish). RNAcentral's name for it is "lncRNA (ENSNFUG00015017526.1)". Lineage: Eukaryota; Metazoa; Chordata; Actinopteri; Cyprinodontiformes; Nothobranchiidae. The record is from RNAcentral.